Molecule: ribosomal RNA, 497 nt
Filed under: uncultured bacterium
Lineage: Bacteria
Description: partial 16S ribosomal RNA
Rfam family: Bacterial small subunit ribosomal RNA
Source: RNAcentral
GAUGAACGCUGGCGGCGUGCCUAAUACAUGCAAGUCGAGCGAACAGACGAGGAGCUUGCUCCUCUGACGUUAGCGGCGGACGGGUGAGUAACACGUGGAUAACCUACCUAUAAGACUGGGAUAACUUCGGGAAACCGGAGCUAAUACCGGAUAAUAUAUUGAACCGCAUGGUUCAAUAGUGAAAGACGGUUUUGCUGUCACUUAUAGAUGGAUCCGCGCCGCAUUAGCUAGUUGGUAAGGUAACGGCCUACCAAGGCAACGAUGCGUAGCCGACCUGAGAGGGUGGUCGGCCACACUGGAACUGAGACGCGGUCCAGACGCCUACGGGAGGCAGCAGUAGGGAAUCUUCCGCAAUGGGCGAAAGCCUGACGGAGCAACGCCGCGUGAGUGAUGAAGGUCUUCGGAUCGUAAAACUCUGUUAUUAGGGAAGAACAAAUGUGUAAGUAACUAUGCACGUCUUGACGGUACCUAAUCAGAAAGCCACGGCUAACUACGUG